UCCCCUAUAAUAUGGACUAGCCACAUGCACGACAGCAUGUAUAUAAGGUCAUUUCUAGGCACCCAAAGACACAAACCAAGAGAAAUAUACAAAUUCCCAAUAUAAUAAGACAAAAACAAUAACGAUUGAAUGCAAAUUAAAGCAGUAAAAAAUUCAGGAGUAUACUACAAAUUCAGAGUUCCAAAAAUUCGCGCUUUCAUUUUUCUAUUAUCUUAGAAAUUAAAGAUUUAGAGUCUUGGGGCUCUACCCAUU
This 252-nucleotide long non-coding RNA is filed under the name Panax ginseng (ginseng). RNAcentral describes it as "long non-coding RNA (PGIN_LNC000673)". Lineage: Eukaryota; Viridiplantae; Streptophyta; Magnoliopsida; Apiales; Araliaceae. The record is from RNAcentral.